ACGAACGCUGGCGGCGUGCUUAACCCAUGCAAGUCGAACCGAAAGGCCCUGCUUUUGUGGGGUGCUCGAGUGGCGAACGGGUGAGUAACACGUGAGUAACCUGCCCUUGACUUUGGGAUAACUUCAGGAAACUGGGGCUAAUACCGGAUAGGAGCUCCUGCCGCAUGGUGGGGGUUGGAAAGUUUCGGCGGUUGGGGAUGGACUCGCGGCUUAUCAGCUUGUUGGUGGGGUAGUGGCUUACCAAGGCUUUGACGGGUAGCCGGCCUGAGAGGGUGACCGGCCACAUUGGGACUGAGAUACGGCCCAGACUCCUACGGGAGGCAGCAGUGGGGAAUAUUGCACAAUGGGCGGAAGCCUGAUGCAGCAACGCCGCGUGCGGGAUGACGGCCUUCGGGUUGUAAACCGCUUUCGCCUGUGACGAAGCGUGAGUGACGGUAAUGGGUAAAGAAGCACCGGCUAACUACGUG
Molecule: ribosomal RNA, 467 nt
Filed under: uncultured bacterium
Lineage: Bacteria
Description: partial 16S ribosomal RNA
Rfam family: Bacterial small subunit ribosomal RNA
Source: RNAcentral